Molecule: ribosomal RNA, 1551 nt
Filed under: Triticum aestivum (bread wheat)
Lineage: Eukaryota; Viridiplantae; Streptophyta; Magnoliopsida; Poales; Poaceae
Description: partial small subunit ribosomal RNA
Source: RNAcentral
AUGAAAGAUAUAUUUUUACAUAGUUACCUGGAUCUUCCCCACCACUUGAAGACUUGUUUAUUAUACUUGUGUAUAUAUCCAGAGGACUCCAUGAUCAAUAUUAAACUGUUGAAAUGGAAAUGGAUAGCGGAAGGAUUCAUUGCUACACAAUGGGGAAGUUUGGAUCAAGUAGCACAUAACUGUUUUAAUGAGCUCGUUAAUAGAAAUAUGAUUCAUCCAGUUUAUGGUAAUUAUGGCAGUUCAGUGAAAUAUUGUAGGGUCCAUGAUAUGGUGCUUGACCUUAUUAUAUCUUUAUCGGAUGAGGAGAAUUUUGCGACUGUCUUAAAUGGGCGUAUAUGCAAUUCUUUCCCAAAUAAGAUACGUCGUCUGUCCAUGCAAUCUAGUGGGGAAGGGCAUAAAGGGGCAGUUGAUGCAAUUACAGAAACCACGGUACAUGUUCGCUCACUGACUUUGUUUAUGCUGCAUAAGCAGAUACCCCAUCUCGUGGACUUCCAUGCUUUGAGGGUGUUGGAUCUUGAAGAAUGUUAUUGGUUGGAAAACAAGCAUGUAAAACACAUAGGAAGUUCAUGCCAGCUGAGGUAUUUGAGAAUUGGCGGUUUUAAAAUUACCGAGCUUCCUGGUGAAAUCGGAAAGCUGCAGCACUUGGAGACUCUGGAUUUGAGAGACUGUGAUUCACUUCUAAGACUGCCAUCAACCGUGGCGGAGUUGCGGAAAUUGCUGCGUCUAUUUGUCAGCAGGAACACACAAUUACCUGCAGGUGGGUUCCGGAGUCUGCAGGCCUUGGAGGAGUUAAGCUUCCAGGAAACUGACGACCCAGUGAGAUUUGCGGAGGAAGUAAAUGAGUCGGGCAAAUGCAACCUUCGCUAUCUUCGUACUGGAGGAGAGAUAGCCAAGCGUCUGUUCUGUAGCCCAUGCUGCACAUACCCGUGCCUCCAAGUUCUUAAAAUUGAGUCAAUUUUUAGAGUGGAAAUGGUUCCCAGGGGAAUGGCCUCCCUCAAGAAUCUCGUGAAACUAUGCAUAUGGGUCAAGGAAUUUGAUAAGGAGGGUCUCCAAGUUCUCAUGGGCAUGCCUUCUCUGGCCCAUCUGGAGCUUGGCAUAAUAGGAGGGGCCAAUGAAAAGCUGAUCAUCGGUACUGAUGGAUUCAAACUGCUAAAGGUCUUCUACUUCCACUAUUUACGCCCCCGUUUUGCUGUUGAAGUGAAACCAACGGGUGGACUGCGGCUAACAUUUGCACCAGGUGCUAUGCAAGCACUCCAUUAUCUCCGUCUUGACUUGAACCCAAUGUUUGUGGCGUCCGACUUUUUUGAAGACUUGGGUGUCGAGCAUCUUCCAGGCCUUGCACAGCUCGAGGUCGAAAUCAGUUGUUUCAGAGCAGCUCCACGCAGGGUGAAGGCUCUUGAGUGUUCCGUUGAAAAAGCAAACAACUUGCUCCCCAAGUGCAGAAUCCGCGUCAGCAGAGCCCUUGAAGAUUACAUGUUGAAGGAUGACAAGGAGUGGGAAGAGGUCGUCGCAAACAGAAUCUCGGGCGAAGAGAGGAGACCAGAAGAAUGA